GACGAACGCUGGCGGCGUGCCUAAUACAUGCAAGUCGAGCGCUGAAGGUUGGUACUUGUACCAACUGGAUGAGCAGCGAACGGGUGAGUAACGCGUGGGGAAUCUGCCUUUGAGCGGGGGACAACAUUUGGAAACGAAUGCUAAUACCGCAUAAAAACUUUAAACACAAGUUGUAAGGUUGAAAGAUGCCAUUGCAGCACGCAAAGAUGAUCCAGCGUCGUAUUAGCUAGGUGGUGAGGUAAAUGCUCAUCAAGGCGAUGAUACAUAGCCGACCUGAGAGGGUGGUCGGCCGCACUGGGACUGUGACCCGCCCCAAACUCCUACGGGAGGCAGCCGUAGUGAAUCUUCGGCCAUGGGUGGAAGUCUGACCGAGCAACGCCGCGUCAGUGAAGAAGGUUUUCGGGUCGUAAAACUCUGUUUGUAGGUAAGAACGUUGGUGAGAGUGUAAAGCUCAUCAAGUGACGGUAACUACCCAGAAAGCGACGGCUAACUACAUG
Molecule: ribosomal RNA, 497 nt
Filed under: uncultured bacterium
Lineage: Bacteria
Description: partial 16S ribosomal RNA
Rfam family: Bacterial small subunit ribosomal RNA
Source: RNAcentral